This 26-nucleotide ribosomal RNA is filed under the name Mesadenus lucayanus. Its description in RNAcentral is "partial 26S ribosomal RNA". The record is from RNAcentral. Lineage: Eukaryota; Viridiplantae; Streptophyta; Magnoliopsida; Asparagales; Orchidaceae.
CGACCCCAGGAUGGGCGGGAUGACCC